Molecule: ribosomal RNA, 471 nt
Filed under: Haematococcus lacustris
Lineage: Eukaryota; Viridiplantae; Chlorophyta; Chlorophyceae; Chlamydomonadales; Haematococcaceae
Description: SSU rRNA
Rfam family: Eukaryotic small subunit ribosomal RNA
Source: RNAcentral
CCGCGGUAAUUCCAGCUCCAAUAGCGUAUAUUUAAGUUGUUGCAGUUAAAAAGCUCGUAGUUGGAUUUCGGGUGGGUUCCAGCGGUCUGCCUCUGGUAUGUACUGCUGUGGCCUACCUUUCUGCCGGGGACGUGUUCCUGGGCUUCAUUGUCCGGGACUCGAAUUCGGCGAGGAUACUUUGAGUAAAACAGCGUGUUCAAAGCAAGCCUACGCUCUGAAUGCAUUAGCAUGGAAUAUCACGAUAGGACUCUGGCCUAUCUUGUUGGUCUGUAGGACCGGAGUAAUGAUUAAGAGGGACAGUCGGGGGCAUUCGUAUUUCAUUGUCAGAGGUGAAAUUCUUGGAUUUAUGAAAGACGAACUUCUGCGAAAGCAUUUGCCAAGGAUGUUUUCAUUAAUCAAGAACGAAAGUUGGGGGCUCGAAGACGAUUAGAUACCGUCGUAGUCUCAACCAUAAACGAUGCCCUGCCCUUU